This 500-nucleotide small RNA is filed under the name Mus musculus (house mouse). RNAcentral describes it as "mpiR splicing variant 8". The record is from RNAcentral. Lineage: Eukaryota; Metazoa; Chordata; Mammalia; Rodentia; Muridae.
CAGAGCCAAGGAAGCUGCACAGGGACAAGGGCUGAUGAUAUUGAAAGUUCAUAUGGAUCAGGUGAUUUCACUGUGAAAGGCUUCCUCCACAGACUGAGCAUCAUCAAUGACUGGGCAAAAUUCCACUGGGCUCUUCUAGACUUUUUCCAAGGACUAUUUCUGGAAACAAACUUCAACAUUCCCAGAAAGUCACAUGAAGAGUUCACACCGAGUCUCAGAGGAGCCAAUGAACAAAAUCUGGGACUAUAAAGACCAUGAAGUCCUUUGAAGAGUGACUAAGCGCAUUGUACACCGAGAUGCACAGGAGCCUGUAGAAACUAAGACAUUUGGAGCAGCAGGAUGCCAUUGAGAAGAGGUUGGGAAUGUUAAAGCUAAGCCAUGUGAACCAAGCUCAUCCCAACAGCUGCCAAAGUGUCUGAAAGUAGAUCCUGGGUCCACCCUUCCCCAUCCCAGCCUUGGAUCUGCUGCUGCUAUGUGAAACGUUUCUGAAAACAGUGACC